UCGAACGCGUCUCCGUUAAUGAUUUUAGGUGCUUGCACUUGAAAGAUUCAAUAUUGAGACGAGUGGCGAACUGGUGAGUAACACGUGGGUAACCUGCCCUUGAAGUAGGGGAUAACACUUGGAAACAGGUGCUAAUACCGUAUAACAACCAAAACCACCUGGUUUUGGUUUAAAAGACGGCUUCGGCUGUCACUUUAGGAUGGACCCGCGGCGUAUUAGCUUGUUGGUAAGGUAACGGCCUACCAAGGCGAUGAUACGUAGCCGACCUGAGAGGGUAAUCGGCCACAUUGGGACUGAGACACGGCCCAAACUCCUACGGGAGGCAGCAGUAGGGAAUCUUCCACAAUGGACGAAAGUCUGAUGGAGCAACGCCGCGUGAGUGAUGAAGGGUUUCGGCUCGUAAAACUCUGUUGUUGGAGAAGAACAGGUGUCAGAGUAACUGUUGACAUCUUGACGGUAUCCAACCAGAAAGCCACGGCUAACUACGUGCCAGCAGCCGCGGUAAUACGUAGGUGGCAAGCGUUGUCCGGAUUUAUUGGGCGUAAAGCGAGCGCAGGCGGUUUUUUAGGUCUGAUGUGAAAGCCUUCGGCUUAACCGGAGAAGUGCAUCGGAAACCGGGAGACUUGAGUGCAGAAGAGGACAGUGGAACUCCAUGUGUAGCGGUGAAAUGCGUAGAUAUAUGGAAGAACACCAGUGGCGAAGGCGGCUGUCUGGUCUGUAACUGACGCUGAGGCUCGAAAGCAUGGGUAGCGAACAGGAUUAGAUACCCUGGUAGUCCAUGCCGUAAACGAUGAGUGCUAAGUGUUGGAGGGUUUCCGCCCUUCAGUGCUGCAGCUAACGCAUUA
Molecule: ribosomal RNA, 845 nt
Filed under: uncultured bacterium
Lineage: Bacteria
Description: bacterial SSU rRNA
Rfam family: Bacterial small subunit ribosomal RNA
Source: RNAcentral